GCCGUGGUCGUAUAGUGGUUAGUACAUUGUGUUUUGGCCGCACUAAUCCUGGUUCGAAUCCUGGUCACAGCA
RNAcentral lists this transfer RNA (72 nucleotides) under Strigamia maritima. It matches the Rfam family "tRNA". Rfam says of the family: Transfer RNA (tRNA) molecules are approximately 80 nucleotides in length. Their secondary structure includes four short double-helical elements and three loops (D, anti-codon, and T loops). Lineage: Eukaryota; Metazoa; Arthropoda; Chilopoda; Geophilomorpha; Linotaeniidae. The record is from Rfam by way of RNAcentral.